This 148-nucleotide non-coding RNA is filed under the name Nomascus leucogenys (northern white-cheeked gibbon). Lineage: Eukaryota; Metazoa; Chordata; Mammalia; Primates; Hylobatidae. The record is from Rfam by way of RNAcentral.
GCCAGGCAUGGUGGCGCGUGCCUGUAGUCCCAGCUACUCAGGAGGCUGAGGCAGAAGAAUCGCUCGAACCCGGGAGGCAGAGGUUGCAGUGAGCUGAGAUCACACCACUGCACUCCAGCCUGGGUGACAGAGUGAGACUCUGUCUUAA